This is a long non-coding RNA of Oreochromis aureus, 352 nucleotides long. The record is from Ensembl. Lineage: Eukaryota; Metazoa; Chordata; Actinopteri; Cichliformes; Cichlidae.
ACCGGUUUAGUCUUGUCCCCUUCAUCCACAUGGUGGGAAAGACAAACCAGGUUUAUGACACACACAUCAUUAACAAAGGGUUGAGUUGCUCGGCAUUUGUUCACAUGGUGGUGUGAGGACCGAGACCUCGAAAAAAAGAAAAGAAAAAAAGAGUGAAGGGCUCGUCUGCAGCAGAAAAACUGCUCAUAAAAGCUCAGAGUCAAUGAAACGAAUUGCUGGAUGUUGACCCAGAUUCUGAACAAGCCCGAUCCACAUACACCCCAUCCUGUACCACCACCUUGGUGACAGACAACUAGAGGUCCAACGUCCAUGGCUACAGAGCUGUGAAAAGUAUUUGUCCCCGUCCUUCUUU